This 253-nucleotide ribosomal RNA is filed under the name uncultured bacterium. RNAcentral's name for it is "partial 16S ribosomal RNA". It matches the Rfam family "Bacterial small subunit ribosomal RNA", at positions 524 to 776 of the family's 1533-position model. The record is from RNAcentral.
UACGUAGGGGGCUAGCGUUGUCCGGAAUCAUUGGGCGUAAAGCGCGCGUAGGCGGCCCGGUAAGUCCGCUGUAAAAGUCCAGGGCUCAACCCUGGAACGCCGGUGGAUACUGUCGGGCUAGAGUCCGGAAGAGGCGAGUGGAAUUCCUGGUGUAGCGGUGGAAUGCGCAGAUAUCAGGAAGAACACCAAUGGCGAAGGCAGCUCUCUGGGACGGUACUGACGCUGAGACGCGAAAGCGUGGGGAGCGAACAGG